GAUGAACGCUGGCGGCGUGCCUAAUACAUGCAAGUCGAGCGAACAGACGAGGAGCUUGCUCCUCUGACGUUAGCGGCGGACGGGUGAGUAACACGUGGAUAACCUACCUAUAAGACUGGGAUAACUUCGGGAAACCGGAGCUAAUACCGGAUAAUAUAUUGAACCGCAUGGUUCAAUAGUGAAAGACGGUUUUGCUGUCACUUAUAGAUGGAUCCGCGCCGCAUUAGCUAGUUGGUAAGGUAACGGCUUACCAAGGCAGCGAUGCGUAGCCGACCUGAGAGGGGGAUCGGCCACACUGGAACGGAGCCACGGUCCAGACUCCUACGGGAGGCAGCAGUAGGGAAUCUUCCGCAAUGGGCGAAAGCCUGACGGAGCAACGCCGCGUGAGUGAUGAAGGUCUUCGGAUCGUAAAACUCUGUUAUUAGGGAAGAACAAAUGUGUAAGUAACUAUGCACGUCUUGACGGUACCUAAUCAGAAAGCCACGGCUAACUACGUG
This 497-nucleotide ribosomal RNA is filed under the name uncultured bacterium. RNAcentral's name for it is "partial 16S ribosomal RNA". It matches the Rfam family "Bacterial small subunit ribosomal RNA", at positions 28 to 507 of the family's 1533-position model. The record is from RNAcentral.